RNAcentral lists this unclassified non-coding RNA (336 nucleotides) under soil metagenome. Its description in RNAcentral is "partial contains 5.8S ribosomal RNA, internal transcribed spacer 2, and large subunit ribosomal RNA". The stretch from base 1 to 120 matches the Rfam family "5.8S ribosomal RNA", at positions 35 to 154 of the family's 154-position model. The record is from RNAcentral.
GAUGAAGAACGUAGCGAAAUGCGAUAAGUAAUGUGAAUUGCAGAAUUCAGUGAAUCAUCGAAUCUUUGAACGCACAUUGCGCCCGCCAGUAUUCUGGCGGGCAUGCCUGUUCGAGCGUCAUUUCAACCAUCAAGCCCCAGGCUUGUGUUGGGGACCUGCGGCUGCCGCAGGCCCUGAAAACCAGUGGCGGGCUCGCUGUCACACCGAGCGUAGUAGAUUUUAUCUCGCUCAGGGCGUGCUGCGGGUUCCGGCCGUUAAAAAGCCUUUUUUACCCAAGGUUGACCUCGGAUCAGGUAGGAAGACCCGCUGAACUUAAGCAUAUCAAUAAGCGGAGGA